UAUUCCUGUACUAUGAUAUGACAGAACUGUGGGGACACGUGCAGAGAGCGGAAGCCGGGAAUGGGAUCCCGGUGCAAGCGAGGUACCAGCCGCAUUGGAAAAACCGUGCGGCAAUGGGAAGACGUGAUGCGGAGUGAAGUUUAGUAAUGAAGUCCGUGAGCUGUGCGUCAAGAAAAGCCGCUAUUGUUCAUACCAUACCCGUACCGUAAACCGGCACAGGUGGAUGAGGAGAGAAUCCUAAGGCCGGCGGAAGAAGCAUUGUCAAGGAACUCGGCAAAAUGACCCCGUAACUUCGGGAGAAGGGGUGCCUGCGAGAGCAGGCCGCAGAGAAUAGGCUCAAGCAACUGUUUAGCAAAAACACAGGUCUAUGCGAAACCGAAAGGUGAGGUAUAUGGGCUGACGCCUGCCCGGUGCUGGAAGGUUAAGAGGAGAGGUUAGCGCAAGCGAAGCUUUGAAUUUAAGCCCCAGUAAACGGCGGCCGUAACAAUAACGGUCCUAAGGUAGCGAAAUUCCUCGUCGGGUAAGUUCCGACCCGCACGAAAGGCGUAAUGAUUUGAGCGCUGUCUCGACAAUGCAUCCGGUGAAAUUGAAGUACCAGUGAAGAUGCUGGUUACCUGCGCCAGGACGGAAAGACCCCAUGGAGCUUUACUCCAGUUUGGUACUGGGAUCCGGUACUGCAUGUACAGGAUAGGUGGGAGGCUGAGAAUCGGUAACGCCAGUUGCCGAGGAGCCGCUGUUGGGAUACCACCCUUGCAGUAUUGGGUUUCUAACCAGCCGCCGUGACCCGGCGGUGGGACAAUGCCAGACGGGGAGUUUGACUGGGGCGGUCGCCUCCGAAAGGGUAUCGGAGGCGCCCAAAGGUUCCCUCAGGAUGGACGGAAACCAUCCAAAGAGUGCAAAGGCAGAAGGGAGCUUGACUGCGACACCGACGGGUGGAGCAGGUACGAAGUAGGGCUUAGUGAUCCGGUGGUAUUAAGUGGGAAUGCCAUCGCUCAACGGAUAAAAGCUACCCUGGGAUAACAGGCUUAUCACUCCCAAGAGUUCACAUCGACGGAGUGGUUUGGCACCUCGAUGUCGGCUCAUCGCAUCCUGGGGCUGUAGUAGGUCCCAAGGGUUGGGCUGUUCGCCCAUUAAAGCGGUACGCGAGCUGGGUUCAGAACGUCGUGAGACAGUUCGGUCCCUAUCCGGCGUGGGCGUAGGAUAUCUGAGAGGAGCUGUCCUUAGUACGAGAGGACCGGGAUGGACGGGCCGCUGGUGCACUGGUUAGACUGCCAAGUCUAUAGCCGGGUAGCCAAGCCCGGAAGGGAUAAACGCUGAAGGCAUCUAAGCGUGAAGCCCCCCUCAAGAUGAGAUAUCCCAUCCGAAAGGAGUAAACCCCCUUGAAGACGACGAGGUCGAUAGGGCAGAGGUGGAAGUGUGGUAACACAUGGAGCUGACUGCUACUAAUAGGGUGAGGGCUUGAUC
This 1464-nucleotide ribosomal RNA is filed under the name metagenome. Its description in RNAcentral is "bacterial LSU rRNA". It matches the Rfam family "Bacterial large subunit ribosomal RNA", at positions 1434 to 2925 of the family's 2925-position model. The record is from RNAcentral.